AACGCGAAGAACCUUACCCAGAUUUGACAUGUAUUGGAAUUAUUCAGAAAUGAAUAAGCCCUUCGGGGCCGAUACACAGGUGCUGCAUGGCUGUCGUCAGCUCGUGCCGUGAGGUGUUGGGUUAAGUCCCGCAACGAGCGCAACCCUUAUCGUUAGUUGCCAACAGGUAAUGCUGGGAACUCUAGCGAGACUGCCUGGGUUAACCAGGAGGAAGGUGAGGAUGACGUCAAGUCCGCAUGGCCCUUAUAUCUGGGGCUACACACGUGCUACAAUGGUCGGUACAGAAGGCAGCGAAACCGCGAGGUGAAGCAAAUCCAAAAAGCCGACCCCAGUUCAGAUUGUAGUCUGCAACUCGACUACAUGAAGACGGAAUUGCUAGUAAUGGCGAGUCAGCAACAUCGCCGUGAAUACGUUCCCGGGCCUUGUACACACCGUACGUC
This 440-nucleotide ribosomal RNA is filed under the name uncultured bacterium. Its description in RNAcentral is "bacterial SSU rRNA". It matches the Rfam family "Bacterial small subunit ribosomal RNA", at positions 958 to 1398 of the family's 1533-position model. The record is from RNAcentral.